CCCUCUUCCCCCGACCCUCCCCCAAUCCCCGCCUCCUCUCCUCCUUCCCGGUCCGUCGCCUCUCUGGCCGUCGUCCCGUCCCCAACUGGGCUGCCCAUGUAUGGCCACUGCUCAGCGCAGCACCACCCCGUCCUCCCUCGUCAGCCGCCGCCGAUCUUCUCGCUGGGGUGGAGGAGUAGGGGAUCCCGCCAGAUCCGACCUGCAGGCAAAGGGCGACGGCGGGGGCGCUUGAUUCGAUCCUGCGCCACAGGUCCGUGCAGGAGAGAGAGGAGGGAGAAAGAGAGAGCAAAGAGGAGUGGCUGAUGACGAGUGGAGGGAGAAAGAGAGAGGAAAUAGGAGAGGGAGGCUCGGCAGCGGACGGGACAGGGUCGCCGGCCGGUGUCGGCCUGCGCCGGCGAGUUCGCUCGCCCAGCUGCCAAAUAGGGAAAGGCGACGGGACCGGCAUCCGGGGCGGCGGCGGCGGCGGGACUGCAGGAACUGGCCGAGGUGAUCCUCGCCAAACAAGCGGGCGGCAGCAAGGUGCUCCCCACGGUGAGGAACGGACGCGCUCAACGCCUUCCUUCCCAACCAGAUAUGAGAAAGAAGAAAUAGGACCAAGAAAAUUAGUUGCUCAUAUAUUCAUGUGUCGUGCAGAGAAGAAACCGAAUGGAGAACUUGGUAUGCCGAGUAAUGUGCAGGUUGCUUUUGUCCUCUCAUCUACUGUUUGGUCUUUGUCUAUUGCUCUGCUGGCUCGUCAUCACCUUGGUUGGAGGUUGUUCUUGGUCCUGCCAUUUGUUCUUGUUAGAGCUAACUGAAAAUAUUUGUUCUCACCUAUGCUAAUGCCUUUCGGUUAAACUAGAAAUUGUUUCAUUGUUGGAAGCUUUCAUCUGCAUAUAUGCGUAAGGGGCUGUGUAUUUAUUUUGUUUCAUUCAUUUUUUGGUCUAUUUAUUUUGCACAGAAAACCAUUUGUGGUAUGCUUUGAUGGGCCUUAUUUAAUACAGUACAGACAAAAUUGGAAGUAGUAGCAAACCAGCCAUAAAUUUUUUGAGAGAACUAUGCUAACCACAAGCAAUGAUGUACUCCUGUCAUUUUGCCAUGAUAUUGUAGCCCACUUCCAAGACUCUAUGUACUAAUGUUAGCUACUUGCUUCUUUAGCUGCUCUAAUUAGGAACCAAUUCUCUGUGUGGUUUAUCCUCUUAAAAUUGUUACUAUUCACUUAGUGGGGGAGUGUAAGCAGUAGCUGAUUUUAGAGAACACUACACACCAGAGCAGGAAGACGAAGUCAGGAAGGAGAAUGCAUGUACCCUUGAGGACUGAAGAAUGAUGUUUAAUCUUGCUUUUGUCUACGCUGCUAUUCUUGGUUCAGAUCCUUACCUUCGGUUCAGUUCCAUGUAGUCUUAUGGAUAGAUGGACAAGUUGGUGAAAACUGAAAACUACCGGAUGGGUUAAUUAAUCGUUGUUGCCCCUAAUUUUGUUAAAGCUUCAUCAACACCUUACAUUUGCUUGGUAGAAAUUUAAACUGAACACCAACUUCAUUUAUGCUAUACUCGGGUGAUGGAUUCCUUCAGAUAUACAAAUUCCUCGAGCAAAGUUUACAAUGCUUUUGUGCCACUUAUGAUAUGCUUCACAAUUUUUUUGUCUUUCCUUGUGGAUCGUCCAUUUGAACUAAUAUAUAUCAAUGUAAAUAACCUUACAUUUCCUUCUCUUUCAAUCGAUUUAAGGUUCUCAUAUAUAAUGAUUACUAAUGACCAGCUGCAGCCACCGCCUAAUCUAACAUUGUUGUACUCAUGGCUUUUGGCAGCUGUGUAUUCCAUUUAGUUACCUUUGCCUAAUGCGUCCUGAUGCGAGGCAUUCUUGUUGCCCUGUACACAGCUUUGCGUUGUAUGAUUGUUACUAUUUCUCCCUGCGUUCUCUCCUUUGCAUUGUCUGACUAUUACAUGAUUAAUAGAUGAACACUCCUAUAUCGCAAUGAAAGGCAAGGACAAGCUCCUGUGACUAAAUACCUAGCAAAUCACCGUGCCUAGGAACUCUCGUCGCAAGCUCUUCACUUCGCCUUCCAAAACCAAGGGAACUACAUCAUCUGCGGCUGUGCCUAAAGAUCCUACCCAAACUGCAGAAACUGCUUUUGCUGGAGAUGUUGUUGACCCUGCAUCCAAAACAAAUGAAACUAAGCAAGAUGCUGCUGCUGCAGCUACUGAAGAUGUGAAGAAUGUGCAAUCUGAUCAGACUAAUUGAACAUAUAAACCCUGCUGGGCUACCUGCCCAGCGAGGGCACUUCCGUGCGCUGCUGCUUCAGGCCGUUUGAUAUUUUUAUCGUACUGUGUUUUUUGAUGCUGGCACUCAGUCAACCGGUCAUUCGUUUUGUACGUUUAGGCUGCCAUCUCAAAGAAAAGAAAUAACAGUUUGAGUAAGUCAUUACAAGAAAUAUGUACCAGGCAACCUCCACACAACAACCACCUCGACCCAAAGCUUAAUCUAUCUCAGGAAAAGAAAUUACAUCCUAGGGAAAAGAACAAAAUCACUAAGUACGACAGAUGAAUCCAUGUAAAAAUCCUGAAAUAGAAAAAGAGAGUUGCUGAUAGUCAGCUACCUUGGCGUUGUGCGGCCACACCCAGGUACUGUGUUUUUUGACGCUGGCACUCAGUCAACCGGUCGUUCGUUUUGUACGUUGCUGGAUGAUUUUCUAAUCACUUCAUUUUUUUUCCAGCUGAGAUCUGCUUGCAGUUUACUAAAUUGUUACCAGACUUCAAAUGUACUACCUAGCAGACUAGCAAGUGUAUAUGAUGACUCCUUUUAUCGUUGAUGAAGGAAUUGGGAUUUCUUUAAGGGAAAUGAUAACAAUGGUGUAUGAAAUGGUAAGGCAAAUGGUGUUUUUUUUCCAUUGUCAUGUUUAAUGGUAUAUUGGCAUGAAGUCAGAGCAGCACCUGAAGACUACACAAGAUAGUUUCUGGUGACCUUCAGUCUAUAUGUCUUAACCAACAGUAGCCACCUUUUGUUUCGUAUCAAUCGAUCCAGCAAGAUAUGUAUAGCCUUUAGAUUUCCAUUCGUGCAUGUGAUACUGCAUGUACACUUAGAUCUCAUUACUGUCUUUGUGGUCAAAACAAAGUUUGUGAUCACUUGUUCUACAUAUGUAAUCAACCGCCCUUCUACUAAUAUUUUCAGAAGACUAUUUAUAUAUGUUUACACUGGUUAGAGAAAAUCAUGACAUUGCCGGCAACAAUUUUUUAUUUCCAUAUGUUCCAAUUUGUCUCUAAAUAUUUUUAUGUGUACUCUUUCAAUACCUGGCUUGCUCUCGCCCUUUGCGCCAUUGGCGCAACGGGUCAUCUAGUGAGAAGAAACGUCCAGCUGACAAGGAUGCAAACCAAGAAGGAGGUCUUAAGAGGCCACACUCACCACUUGGAG
Molecule: ribosomal RNA, 3381 nt
Filed under: Triticum aestivum (bread wheat)
Lineage: Eukaryota; Viridiplantae; Streptophyta; Magnoliopsida; Poales; Poaceae
Description: partial small subunit ribosomal RNA
Source: RNAcentral